AUAUCAGAAUGGAUAGUUAUAAAAUGAACCAAAGCUUUAUUAUUCAUUGAAAGAUAAGAAUGCCUUGUCUGUUUGGCAAGUUCACAAGCCUCACAAACUAACCAUUCUCAUUUGCAUUGUCUAAACAAAAUCUAAGGUUAAAAAAGAAGAAUGUCCUAAUCUCCUAUGCCAUUGAUAAUAUUUUCAUUAGCACUCAUAGACUUUCCUAACAAAGCGUAGUUUGCUCCAAGAUUUGAAGGACCACAUACAUCAUCUAACAGAUAUAGACCAUCUCGCAAUCUA
This 282-nucleotide unclassified non-coding RNA is filed under the name Hevea brasiliensis (rubber tree). Lineage: Eukaryota; Viridiplantae; Streptophyta; Magnoliopsida; Malpighiales; Euphorbiaceae. The record is from RNAcentral.